GGGGGGGGGGGGGGGGGGGGGGGGGGGGGGGGGGGCGGGGGGGGGGGGCGGGCGUGGGGGGGGGUCGGGUGGCGAGCGGGUGAGUGACGCGGGGGGGGUCUGCCCUGCACUGCGGGAGAGGCCGGGGAAAGUGGGUCGAAUACCGGAGAGGGGCCCUUUGUAGUGUGAUGGUUGGAAAGUUUUUUCGGUGUAGGAUGAGCUCGCGGCCUAUCGGCUUGUUGGUGGGGUAAUGGCCUACCAAGGCGGCGACGGGUAGCCGGCCUGCGAGGGUGGACGGCCACAUUGGGACUGAGAUACGGCCCAGACUCCGACGGGAGGCAGCAGUGGGGAAUAUUGCACAAGGGGCGCAAGCCUGAUGCAGCGACGCCGCGUGGGGGAUGACGGCCUUCGGGUUGUAAACUCCUUUCGCUAGGGACGAAGCUUUUUGUGACGGUACCUAGAUAAGAAGCACCGGCUAACUACGUG
RNAcentral lists this ribosomal RNA (465 nucleotides) under uncultured bacterium. Its description in RNAcentral is "partial 16S ribosomal RNA". It matches the Rfam family "Bacterial small subunit ribosomal RNA", at positions 39 to 507 of the family's 1533-position model. The record is from RNAcentral.